Molecule: ribosomal RNA, 422 nt
Filed under: Verrucomicrobiota bacterium
Lineage: Bacteria; Pseudomonadati; Verrucomicrobiota
Description: Verrucomicrobia bacterium partial 16S ribosomal RNA
Rfam family: Bacterial small subunit ribosomal RNA
Source: RNAcentral
UGGGGAAUUUUGCACAAUGGGCGCAAGCCUGAUGCAGCGACGCCGCGUGAGGGAUGAAGGCCUUCGGGUUGUAAACCUUUUUCGCUCAUGGUCAAGCCGCAGCUUUGGGUUGUGGUGAGGGUAGUGGGUAAAGAAGCGCCGGCUAACUACGUGCCAGCAGCCGCGGUAAUACGUAGGGCGCGAGCGUUGUCCGGAAUUAUUGGGCGUAAAGGGCUUGUAGGCGGUUGGCCGCGUCUGCCGUGAAAUCCUCUGGCUUAACUGGGGGCGUGCGGUGGGUACGGGUUGACUUGAGUGCGGUAGGGGAGACUGGAAUUCCUGGUGUAGCGGUGGAAUGCGCAGAUAUCAGGAGGAACACCGGUGGCGAAGGCGGGUCUCUGGGCCGUUACUGACGCUAAGGAGCGAAAGCGUGGGGAGCGAACAGG